CAGUGUUUGCAUAGCUGUUGUGACCAGUGACACCGAGCAAUGUUGGGCAGACCAGGCCACCAGUGCCUUCCCACUGAAGAGGAAGCAUUGUCCAGCAUUCUGAGGUCAGGUGUAUCCACUGAGUGCAUGCACUCUGGAAGUAACAAUGCUGACCAAUUUUUGAGAGGAAAAUUACCUCUGACGCUAGCCCUCCUUAAACAGCAUCACUAGCACCACUAAUUAUCACUCCACCAUGGUCAGAGACAGACAGACUGGACACGUGCUUCCUAGGCACCAGGUUUUCACCAAAGGAAUUUCAUCAGUAGUUAUAUAUUUAGUUAUAUAUAUAAUAUACGCCUUUGUGCACCAAUAAACUGGUGGUUUAGACACCAUAGUGGCACCUGCUGGCAUUAGCAAGAUGGCCUAAUGGUUAGGUCUCAGGUGAGGUUGGUUGUUGCCGUUCCUCAGCAGAGCAAAACAGGAGGGAGACUGGCAGAGCACCAGCGCUCAGCCUGCCCCAGGGGAGCAGGGUGGCAGUGCCAGCCUCGCCAGAGCGCCCCUUGCUCACCACCGCAGCCCCACCACAGUGGGCAGCACUGUGAGUCCCAGGCAUGCAGGGCAGUCCUGCAAGCCUAAAAACAGCUUACUGCAAGCUGCAGCAAACUGCAGCUAGAAACCAUUGCUUCUGUGAGAACAGUAAAUUGUUUUCCUCUCUUUUUCAAGAAUUAUUAGCCAUGUAGUCACUAAUAACUAUGGCUUUGAUCAUAACUAUGGGGCAGACUGUUUCUUUUUCCCAUGACAGCUGAGAAACAUUGAAAAUGCAGUUGUUUUAGCAAUUUAAUCUCCUUCUCCUCGGUGAACCCGUAUGUUAUUUACUCCAGCACAGGGCACGUCCUGCAGGCAACUACGGAAUCAGCCUCCUAAGCGGCCACGCUGCAUACCACGCUGGUAGGGUUUUUUUGGAUGCUUUAGGUAGCACUGAUGUUCUCCGCACCAGUCUGCCCUCACUGGCCUGGGAGCAGCAGGCAGACAGGUAAGGGAAUCGCAGCCAAACCGAGCCGGCCACGUUGCUCCCCGGCCCACAGAGCAGAAGGAGGAAAAAGCACCCUUCCUUUAGCUGGAGCUGGCUUUCGGUUUGGGACUCGCGGUUCAGGACUCGGGGUCUCUACCCCCGCUAACAACGACUGGAAGCGAAAGGCUCUCCGCAAUCUGACAGCAGCGCCUUACCGAGGAGCUGGCAGGACACCUGCAGCGGGAUGCUCCGGGGACUGCCCGCCCCCAGCUGCCCCCCCAGGGCCCGGUCCCGGCCCCGGUCCGUCUCCGGAGCGGCCCCCGGCCCCGCUCCCCUUCUCUGGCCGCCUUCUACCUGCGCCCUCCCGCGGGGCCGUCGCUCACCGGCCCGCCGCGGCUUCCACCGCCCUCCCGCGGGGGCCGGCGCUCGGGGAGGAGCGGCUCGGCCCGGCUCGGCUCCGCCGGGCCCGGCUUGGCCCGGCCCCGCCGCCACGGGCGGAGACGGAGGCGGUGCCGAGCCCCGAGCGCCGCGCUGCGUCCCCACGGCCGCUGCCGCACCGAGCACCGGGGCCUCUCCCCGCACCCCCGGCGGCGGAGCGGAGCCCAGCGGGUUGCCCGGCGACUCUCGAGCCCCCUCCCGGCUCCGCUGCUCCGGAUAAAUAUAAAUAACUAUACACUUAGUUAGCAGCCCUGGAUAAUAUAUAUCCCCUCCAUCCCCAUCUCUCGCAGCCCUCGGCCCUCCUACGUGCUCCGGGUUUGGGAAGCCCUCGGGAAUUCGGGUCCCGCUUGGCCCCUUCGCCCGGUGCCCCGCUCUGCCCCACACGGGAGCGGUGGCCCUCGUUCCCCGAGGUCUUCUGCUCAGCCUGCUGCCGGGGCCCUGCGGCUGCCGUCACCCCCAGGGAUCUCCGUCAGGAGCCUGGCGGCUCUCCCCGGUCCUACCGGCAGAGAAAGAAAGAAACCGACGGCAGCACGGCACCAAGUCCCCUCACGGAGAAGGCAGCCGUGGGCUCCCGUUGGCUUGGAGCCGCGCCGUCGGGCCGGGCUCCGCCAGGAGCCGCCGAUGAAUGGGAGAGCCCGAGCGGAGGAGACCCGGGCAUCUGCUCAGCCUCAAACCUCCCCCGUUCGUCGGUGUCCGGCGGGCCGGGUCCCGGAGGAGCGGGGAGGGGAAGCCACGGUGCCAAAGUGCUCACCCGGCACGGCCCCGCCGACCGGCGCGGGGCCCGGGCUGAAAUUUUGUUUUCGGCAUUUUCAUGCCCGGCGGCGGCCAGCCCCGAGUCUCUCUCUCCCUGUCGCCCCCGGCCCCGGCACGGUUGCCCCGUCUUCCUCCGGGGCUUGGGACGGACGCUGUCCCCGAGCGGACCGCCCGACGGGUCAAGGCGGUCCCGCAAAUCCUCUUGCCGGUACCUCUUCCCGCUACCUGCGGUCCCCGCACACCCCGACCCUGCGGACAGCGGCUCCGGGUGGGUUAGCAGCCGCCGCCACCCGGGACUCGCUCUAGCACCGAGAACCGCACCACCGCCGCCCCCUCGGGCUGAGCCACCGGCAGCCGGCGGCCCCGUUGAGGGGGGCAGGAGGCUCAGGCGCGGUCGUAGCGAGACAACGAAUUUCCGUGGGGAAACCACGGGGGCGUUUAACGUGCGGUCAGCGGGAGCCGUGCGGCCGGGAGGGCCGCCCGCCUCGACCGGGCUCCUCUGGGUGUCCCGGGAGCCCGAGGGAACGGGUGUCCCGUUAAGGUCGGGUGGAUGCAGGGACUCUCCCGGCCUCCCGGCCCCGACCAGAGGUGCCCAGGCCGUCUCCCUCCACCUGGGCUUGUCCUUUCGAUGGUUUCCCAAAAAGUGACCCUCUCAGCUGCCCGAAACGGCGAAAGACGGAUUUUUUUUUUUUUUUCUUUGGAAAGAAACAGGUGGCAGCACCUGGGCCGGGAGCGGGGCCCGGCCGGGGACACUGCAGCCAUGCCCGGCUGCAGCGGCGCGGGGUCCCGGGCAAGCUGCCGCCGGCUUUUCCUUCGACGGCCGAGCCCGGGAGCUGGGCGGCUCCUUGCAAACCGUGGGGGCGCCCGGUGCGGUGUCCCGGAGCCGCUACACCGGGCAGUCGGGAUCCACCGCAUCCCCACCUCCCGCAGGGGCUGUCCGUGAGGGGCGGAGGGGGGCUCCUCGGGGGCACCCAUCCCUCCGCAGGUCCCUCUCCAGCCUCUCCUCGACGGGACGGCGGGGGGGUGAGGAGGGUGCCGCCACCGGUGCCACCGGCAGGGCCGUGCCUCGGCGGCCGGUGUCGGCGCAGCGCGGCCUGGAGGAGCGCAGCGGAGGGGGUGCGACCCGGUGGCGGUGGCGGUGCGGGUGGCGGUGCCGGUGCCGGUGGCUGCGCGCG
RNAcentral lists this long non-coding RNA (3357 nucleotides) under Anas zonorhyncha (Eastern spot-billed duck). Its description in RNAcentral is "lncRNA (ENSAZOG00000017969.1)". Lineage: Eukaryota; Metazoa; Chordata; Aves; Anseriformes; Anatidae. The record is from RNAcentral.